This 253-nucleotide ribosomal RNA is filed under the name uncultured bacterium. Its description in RNAcentral is "partial 16S ribosomal RNA". It matches the Rfam family "Bacterial small subunit ribosomal RNA", at positions 524 to 776 of the family's 1533-position model. The record is from RNAcentral.
UACGUAGGGGGCAAGCGUUGUCCGGAUUUACUGGGCGUAAAGGGCGCGUAGGCGGCGCGGUAAGUCACCUGUGAAAACUCUGGGCUCAACUCAGAGCCUGCAGGCGAAACUGCCGUGCUUGAGUGUGGGAGAGGUGCGUGGAAUUCCCGGUGUAGCGGUGAAAUGCGUAGAUAUCAGGAGGAACACCUGUGGUGUAGACAGCUUACUGGACCACUUCUGACGCUGAGACACGAAAGCGUGGGUAGCAAACAGG